AUGCAGGCAGGGGCCAUAAGGAAGCUCAAUGGGUUCAUAUUGGUGUUUCUAUUACAAAGUCUGUCUCUGUCUUUUUUAAUAGCCAGUCGCAAAGCUCCAUCUGUCUUUCCCCUGGCACCCAAAUGUGGACAGGAAACCUCCUCCAAAAUAGCUCUGGGCUGCCUGGUGUCAGGCUACUUCCCUAAGCCUGUGGAAGUGACAUGGAAUUCAGGAGCCAUCUCCAGUGGAAUCCAGACUUAUCCCUCUGUUCUCCAGUCCUCAGGACUCUACACCUCAAGCAGUCAAUUGACAGUUCCUACAGAUGCUUUGAACAGCCAAUCAUACACCUGCAAUGUGGUCCACCAAGCCACAUCCACCAAGAUUAACAAGAAAGUUGAAAUCAGUGAUUCCUCAAAUUCCUGCAAAUGCCAAGCAUGUGAUGUCAGUGGACCUUCUGUAUUCCUCUUCCCUCCAAACCCUAAGGACACACUCACAACCUCAGGAGUCCCUAAAAUCACCUGUAAGGUGAUUGAUGUGAGUGAUUCGUCAGAGGUUCGUAUUACCUGGUUGAAAGGUGAUAACAUAAUUGACAGUCCUAAACCAAAACGGGACAGGCUAAACAAUGGCACCUUUCAAGUGGUCAGCACUAUCCCUGUAGAACACCGAGAAUGGCUGAAUGGCAUGGCGUACACCUGCAAAGUUGAAAACGACGAAUUACCAUCUCCUGAGAAAAAAACCAUCUCCCACCCUAAGGGUGACAAAAAGAAGCCUGAUGUGUAUGUCUUUGCCCCACAUCCUGAGGAGUUGAAGCAUAAAGACACUGUUAGUAUUACCUGCCUCGUACAAAAUUUCUUCCCUGACGAAGUUGUUGUUGAAUGGCAAUGCAACAACAAUCGGGAAUGUGAAGAGAAUCAUUCCACCACCCAAACCGUGAAGGAAAAUGGCACCUUCUUUCUCUACAGCAAGCUCAAUGUGAAGAAAAGAAAAUGGCAAGAGAAUAACUCCUACACCUGCGUGGUGCUACACGAGGCCCUUCCGAACCACUAUACUGAGAGGACAAUCUCUGCAUCCCCGGAAUUGAUACCAGAUGAGAACUGUGCUGAGACCAGGGAUGGAGAGCUGGAUGGGCUGUGGACCACAAUAUCUAUCUUCAUCACUCUCUUCCUCCUCAGUGUGUGCUACAGUGCCACUGUCACCCUGUUCAAGGUAAAGUGGAUCUUCUCCUCUGUGAUGGAGUUAAAGCAGCCAAUGAUCCCUGACUAUAGAAACAUGAUGGGGCAAGGAGCCUAAGAGAAGGUGCUGUACCCCCAUCUCCCAGAGACAAACCUUAAAUGGAGUGAGAACCUCACCAUGAUUUCCUCAAAACAGCAGAAACAUCUCCACAUCACAAUCAAAUCCAGCUUCUCCCUGAACACAGACAUUCACCAAUGUCCCUUAGCAUGGGACAAAGACUCUUUUGCCUCUUCUGUUGCCCAAGACCAGCUCAGGAAAAUGGAACCUCUGUCUAACAAAGGUCUCAUUCUUCAUGUAUUGCCUUUCUCUCACAGGAUCAGCAGAAUAGGGAUGCAAAGGAAAAGAGAAUAGAAGCUACAUGGCCUAUAGUGAAGGCUGAGGAAAGACCAGCAUCAUCGUUGUGUAAGACAUAAUUGAUAGAUGUACUCAUAUUCAUUCAAAUCAAACAGAAUUUCUCCUUUGGUA
This is a non-coding RNA of Phascolarctos cinereus (koala), 1677 nucleotides long. Lineage: Eukaryota; Metazoa; Chordata; Mammalia; Diprotodontia; Phascolarctidae. The record is from the annotation of a RefSeq genome assembly.